This 1974-nucleotide ribosomal RNA is filed under the name human metagenome. RNAcentral describes it as "bacterial LSU rRNA". It matches the Rfam family "Bacterial large subunit ribosomal RNA", at positions 831 to 2814 of the family's 2925-position model. The record is from RNAcentral.
AAUCGAACUAGGAGAUAGCUCGUUCUCUCCGAAAUGCAUCUAGGUGCAGCCUUGAGUGUUCAAUUAUGGGGGUAGAGCACUGAAUGAUCUAGGGGGCAUAUUGCUUACUGAAAUCAAUCAAACUCCGAAUACCAUAAUUUAUAGCUCAGGAGUGAGACUAUGGGAGUUAACUUCCAUUGUCAAAAGGGAAACAACCCAGACCACCAGCUAAGGUCCCUAAUUAUAACUAAGUGGGAAAGGAGGUGGAGAUUCACAAACAACUAGGAGGUUGGCUUAGAAGCAGCCAUACCUUUAAAGAGUGCGUAAUAGCUCACUAGUCGAGAGUCUCUGCGCCGACAAUGUAACGGGGCUAAGUUAUAAACCGAAGCUGUGGAAUCCUUUUGGAUUGGUAGGAGAGCGUUCUGUAGGCCGUUGAAGAAGAAGGGUAACCGACUUUGGAGGUAUCAGAAGUGAGAAUGCAGGAAUAAGUAGCGAGAAAGGGGGCGAGAAUCCCCCUCGCCGGAAGACCAAGGUUUUCAGGGUAAAGCUUGUCUUCCCUGAGUAAGCCGGGACCUAAGCCCAGGCUAUAAUGCGUAGGCGAAUGGAAAACAGAUUAAUAUUUCUGUGCCAGUCAUUUAUUGUGAUGGAGGGACGCAGAAGGGUAUGCGCGCGGACGAUCGGUUGUGUCCGUAGAAGUAUGUAGGAUGACUUAGUAGGUAAAUCCAUUAAGUUAUAUCUGAGGUAUGAUAUACAGUCGUAAGAUGAAUGCGCAAAUCCCACGCUGCCAAGAAAAGCUUCUAACGUUAAUAUAUGACUGCCCGUACUGUAAACCGACACAGGUGGUCAGGAUGAGAAAUCUAAGGCGGACAGGCUAACUCUCGUUAAGGAACUCUGCAAAAUAACCUCGUAACUUCGGGAGAAGAGGAGCCCUUGGGUGUUAGUAUCCAUGCGAUACAAAGCGCUCGAGGGUCGCAGUGAAGAGGCUCAAGCAACUGUUUAACAAAAACACAGGUCUAUGCUAAGCUGGAAGGCGAUGUAUAUGGGCUGACACCUGCCCAGUGCUGGAAGGUUAAGAGGAGGAGUGAGAGCUCCGAAUUGAAGCCCCAGUGAACGGCGGCCGUAACUAUAACGGUCCUAAGGUAGCGAAAUUCCUUGUCGGGUAAGUUCCGACCUGCACGAAUGGUGUAAUGAUUUGAGCGCUGUCUUGACGGGAGGCCUGGUGAAAUUGUAUUACCGGUGAAGAUACCGGUUACCUACAGUAGGACGGAAAGACCCCAUGGAGCUUUACUGUAGCUUGGUAUUGGGUUUUGGCAUUGCAUGUAUAGGAUAGUUGGGAGACUAUGAUGAUAUGGCGCUAGCUGUAUCGGAGUCAUCGGUGGAAUACCAACCAUUCAAUGCUGAAAUUCUAAUCUGUGGUUUGUAGCCACGGAGACAGUGCUAGGUGGGCAGUUUGACUGGGGCGGUCGCCUCCGAAAGAGUAACGGAGGCGUUCAAAGGUUCUCUCAGGUUGGAUGGAAAUCAACCAUAGAGUGCAAUGGCAUAAGAGAGCUUGACUGCAAGACUGACGGGUCGAGCAGAUGCGAAAGCAGGACAUAGUGAUCCGGCGAUUCCGAAUGGAAGGGUCGUCGCUCAACGGAUAAAAGCUACCCUGGGGAUAACAGGCUGAUCCUACCCGAGAGUCCAUAUCGACGGUAGGGUUUGGCACCUCGAUGUCGGCUCAUCGCAUCCUGGGGCUGGAGAAGGUCCCAAGGGUUGGGCUGUUCGCCCAUUAAAGCGGUACGUGAGCUGGGUUCAGAACGUCGUGAGACAGUUCGGUCCCUAUCCACUGUAGGCGUUAGAAUAUUGAGAAGACCUGUCCUUAGUACGAGAGGACCGGGAUGGACAAACCUCUGAUGUACCAGUUGUCACGCCAGUGGCACAGCUGGGUAGUCACGUUUGGAAUAGAUAACCGCUGAAAGCAUCUAAGCGGGAAACUAACUUCAAGAUAAGUAUUCU